UACGAAGGGUGCAAGCGUUACUCGGAAUUACUGGGCGUAAAGCGUGCGUAGGUGGUUUGUUAAGUCUGUCGUGAAAUCCCCGGGCUCAACCUGGGAAUGGCGAUGGAUACUGGCAAGCUAGAGUGAGGUAGAGGAGAGUGGAAUUCCCGGUGUAGCAGUGAAAUGCGUAGAGAUCGGGAGGAACAUCAGUUGCGAAGGCGGCUCUCUGGACCAUCACUGACACUGAGGCGCGAAAGCGUGGGGAGCAAACAGG
Molecule: ribosomal RNA, 253 nt
Filed under: uncultured bacterium
Lineage: Bacteria
Description: partial 16S ribosomal RNA
Rfam family: Bacterial small subunit ribosomal RNA
Source: RNAcentral